UGGUUCUGGCAUCGAUGAAGAACGCAGCGAAAUGCGAUAAGUAAUGUGAAUUGCAGAAUUCAGUGAAUCAUCGAAUCUUUGAACGCACAUUGCGCCCCCUGGUAUUCCGAGGGGCAUGCCUGUUCGAGCGUCAUUACACCCUCAAGCCUAGCUUGGUAUUGGGUACCGUUACUUACCUAGCGGACCCUAAAAUCAGUGGCGGUACCGUCGAGGACCUGAGCGUAGUAAAUCUCCUCGCUAUAGGAACUCGGCGGUAGUGGCCACCAACCACCACAUUCUAAGUUUGACCUCGGAUCAGGUAGGGAUACCCGCUGA
Molecule: unclassified non-coding RNA, 315 nt
Filed under: uncultured fungus
Lineage: Eukaryota; Fungi
Description: partial contains 5.8S ribosomal RNA and internal transcribed spacer 2
Rfam family: 5.8S ribosomal RNA (bases 1-133)
Source: RNAcentral